UCCCAGACUUGUCACGUGCUUGAUUCGUCAGGGUGCGUUUAAAUUAAAACAUUUUCGCGGUUACAUCCUCACGGAAAUAGCUGUAUUGGGUGAACACCAGAUACAGAGAAACAAAAGGCAGCAAACGCGUACAUCAAUGCGUUUAUUCGACAAGAAAACCUAUGAGGAAAUGUCAUCUUCUGUGUGCAUGGACGAGCCCCACUGUCUCAGAUGGAAUCCAGACUGUGCCAGUGCUGACUGUGGCCGUUAACUCCAUAGGGUGAUGCAAAAUCGGCGAUUGCAACACCCAGGGUGUGAGCUGGGAGCGGAGAACGACGAGAGCCACGUCCAGCUCAGCCCUACUGCGCUUUCUGCACCUUCCCGGCUGGACGGCCGGAUGAACUCUUUGUGUUGCCGCGAGACGAAGUUGACCGCCGCGUACUCCAGCAGCGCCGCGAACACGAACAGCAGGCAAACCGCCAUCCAGAUGUCAAUGGCCUUCACGUAGGACACCUGCGGCACACCACGUCAGAGCAUCAGUCAGUAAUCAAUCAGAGAGGCCCGUGAGCCGGAGCUCUGCGUGGUCAUGGUCAGGACCGUGGUGAUCCCCAGCCCCACGCGUGCCGGCGCGGCGUCCAUGUUGAUCCAGAAGGACACCCAGGAGAGGAUGACGAUGAGCAGGCUGGGGAUGUACAUCUGGAUCAGAACAAACUGUGGGAGCAUCAGAUCAUCAGCAACCUGAACGGGGGCUGUCUCCAGCCACUCAAAAAUCAGGUCGUUCAUGGUGUAGCCAACUGUGGGGAGCAAGGGAGAGUGGGGGAAAGAGGGUGAGAGAGAGAAAAAAGAGAAAAAGAGAAAGAGAGAUCCCUCACUGCAGCUACAAUGCUCACAUCCUCUUCAGCCUGUUUGUCAUGGCGAAAGGUCACCUGUCUACAGCUUCAAUGGGGCCUGCUGGUCGCCUGAAGUUCAGGCACAAGGACGAACGUGAUUAGCAUGCGUUCCUCCGUCUGUCUGAGGUUGUUUGCAGGCUGAGAUAGCCAGCCACAUAAUGAAUGGGUUUCUGGGACCUACAGACAUUUGUAUGGUAGGAGAACCAUGCCUGCAGAUCUGUCAUCGCAGCCUCUGGAAUUCUACAGAUAGAUGUUUCCAUUUACCAGGAAGCCAAGGCAGGAUAACUGAAAUAACCAUGAUUAUUUUAGCCAAAAUGUUCCCUCGACCAUCACCAUCACCAUCCCCCUCAUGCUCCCGUACCUCUGAUCAUUCAAUUCAUCUUAGCGGAGUGAGAUUAGAGACCCAUUAAACAUGCAUGAAGCAUGCAAUAACACUGCAGAAUGCUUGACACGUUUGAAUAAUACCGAUGUCUAUCGUAGCCCCUUGAGGCUGUGUGUUACAAAGGCAUCAAUAAUUCAAUAUAUUACCCACCCCCACCCACAUUUUAACCAGUGGCCAGCAAACAACAAAGCCAUUAAACGUAACACAUCUUGCUCAUGAAGACUGAUUGCGUCAUUCAGUAUACGUCUCUCUCUCCUUGGAAAUGAGAACAUCAGUAGGGCAAGCAAUGCGCUUUUCUUACAGUUAUAAGUGUA
Long non-coding RNA from Anguilla anguilla (European eel), 1565 nucleotides. RefSeq lists it as uncharacterized. The transcript has 6 exons. NCBI's taxonomy places the organism in Eukaryota, Metazoa, Chordata, Actinopteri, Anguilliformes, Anguillidae. The record is from RefSeq and is a predicted model, not a curated record.